Molecule: ribosomal RNA, 253 nt
Filed under: uncultured bacterium
Lineage: Bacteria
Description: partial 16S ribosomal RNA
Rfam family: Bacterial small subunit ribosomal RNA
Source: RNAcentral
UACGGAGGAUGCGAGCGUUAUCCGGAUUCAUUGGGUUUAAAGGGUGCGUAGGCGGACUUAUAAGUCAGUGGUGAAAACCUGCAGCUUAACUGUAGACGUGCCAUUGAUACUGUUAGUCUUGAGUAUGGUCAAGGUAGGCGGAAUGUGUAAUGUAGCGGUGAAAUGCUUAGAUAUUACACAGAACACCGAUUGCGAAGGCAGCUUACUGGGCCAUUACUGACGCUGAUGCACGAAAGCGUGGGGAGCGAACAGG